CCUUCGAUAGCUCAGUUGGUAGAGCGGAGGACUGUAGGUGAAUUUCCUGGGUAUCCUUAGGUCGCUGGUUCGAAUCCGGCUCGAAGGA
Non-coding RNA from Cricetulus griseus (Chinese hamster), 88 nucleotides. NCBI's taxonomy places the organism in Eukaryota, Metazoa, Chordata, Mammalia, Rodentia, Cricetidae. The record is from Rfam.